RNAcentral lists this long non-coding RNA (935 nucleotides) under Mytilus galloprovincialis (Mediterranean mussel). The record is from RNAcentral. Lineage: Eukaryota; Metazoa; Mollusca; Bivalvia; Mytilida; Mytilidae.
AUUCUAUUUUUCUACACCAUAAGUGAGGUUGAAAAGACAUUAUUUUUUACAGCUUUUUAGCUAAUUUAGAAUUCCUAAAGGGACUAUAGGUUUACAUUCUAUCAUUACAUCCAGUAUAUGUGUAGAAUAAGUUUUCAAUGCUUUUUCUGUAAUUCUGUUAUAUAAUGGUUACACAUUUGUUAAAAAAAAUAUCAGAAGGAUUUACAGAUAGAGUGAGUUGCCUUAAGGUUACGUUAUUUUAACAUAGUAAAGUAUUGAUAAUAGAAAAUUACUUGUAAAUCUCUCCUUUCUCCGCCUAUUUAUGAUUCCUUCUAUUGGUAUGACAUUUGGUAAAUUAACAGUUACAGAUUGUAAUAUCAUAAGAAGUAACAGAUCAUGCUAGAAUUUCAGUCAAGUUGUAAGAUUAUUGCAUAAGUGGUGGCCCUUGAAAAAAACAAAUUGCUUUAAACCCUAAGUUUUCAACACUUUCUUUUGUAAUGACUAAAACAGUUGAUUAGAUAUUUGAAUAAUUUGCACUUAUAUAUCAUAAAAAGUAACAUAUCAAGCUUGAAUUAUGCAACAUUAAAACAAAUAAAGCUCAUUUUAUCCACUGAAAAUGGAUUAUCUUUCUAAAGAAUUACAAUAAUGCAACAAUAUGCAAUAGUGCUAUAUAUUCAAUGGAACAUAAAAGUAUGUCUGAAAUAUGCAUACAACUACAACGUAUACCAAUCUUUCCAAAUGAUAUUUGGAUCACUUUGUUUUUUCUAACUUAUACUGAGUUAGUUGUACUAAAAGAUGUAGGUGUGAUACUGGCUCCUAGGAGCCUCUUGUUUAGUAUAAUGUAUACCAUUGGCCUGUGAAGUAUAUUUGUUUCAAGUAUGUAUUGCUAUAAGUGAUCAGUUGCUUUCCAUUGAAAUUGAUUUAGUGCCAUAAUUGAGAUAAAUCAUUUUUUUUAA